RNAcentral lists this small nuclear RNA (170 nucleotides) under Cervus hanglu yarkandensis (Yarkand deer). RNAcentral describes it as "U4 spliceosomal RNA (ENSCHYG00000020529.1)". The stretch from base 1 to 107 matches the Rfam family "U4 spliceosomal RNA". Rfam says of the family: U4 small nuclear RNA (U4 snRNA) is a component of the major U2-dependent spliceosome. The structure of U4 snRNA from yeast and human has been reported. U4 snRNA presents a k-turn RNA motif in the 5p-SL related to recognition of Snu13 protein. Lineage: Eukaryota; Metazoa; Chordata; Mammalia; Artiodactyla; Cervidae. The record is from RNAcentral.
AGCUUUGUGCAGUGGCAGUAUCGUAGCCAAUGAGGUUUAUCCGAGGUGCGAUUAUUGCUAAUUGAAAAAAAUUAAAAAAAAAAAAAGUUUCUAUAAACACGCAUGUGCAGGUUUUCUUGUGAACAUGAGUUUUCAACUCAUUUGUGCACAUAUGAAGGAGUAUAAUUGCU